AUUUUGGGUCAUUAAGUAGGUCACUAGGUCAUAGAAAAGCAUGGUGAACACUCUAGAGGAGCAACUGGAACAACUUCCGUCUUGAGAAUAUUUGACUGGAUGAUCUUUAGGUCAAGUUUGAAUAUGUAGUCAAAAACUUGGUCACUAAGCCAAAUAAAAGAUAAAUAUUGUGAACACUGUUGGGACCAUAGUUUCAGCUGGAACAAAUUCAAACUUAAUGAGAAUGUUUGUCUGGAUGAUCUCUAAGUCAAGUUUGAAUCUGUGUCAUCUGGGGUCAAAUAGAAGGUUGCUAGGUCAAAUAAAAAAAUAAUAUUGUGAAUACCCUAAAGACCAUAUGAGAAUGUUUGUCUGGUUGCUCUCUAGGCCAAGUUUGAGUCUUGAAUGUCUUCUUAGCUUGACUCUGACCUUUUGACCUUUUUUAUUGUCCUAGGGUGCCAUGUAUCCAGGUGAGUGAUAUAGGCCCACUUGUUAUGAACUUGCUUUUUCUUUUGCUCUUACUUAGCUAUUGAGAAAUGCAAAAUGCCAAAAUACAUAUUUUCAAAAUUUAAGGUUUUAUUGUUGAUUCACUAUAGUAUAUGGAAAGCUGUGUGUCAAAGGGCAUUUGAUUGCGGCAUCCCUUGAUCUUCCUGCAAGAGCAAUGUAGGCAAAUAAGAAACAGUUUAAUGGCAAGAAUGCCUGUACAGUAUGUUUAGAUCCAGGGGAGUAUCCAGAAGGGAUGCCAUUGAUGCAAUAUUAUCCUUACAAAGACAACUCUUAAUGUCAGAACUCAUCAGUCUAUGCUUAGGGAUGCAGAAGAAGCCUUAUGAACCAGAGCACCAGUGAAUGGAAUUAAAGGUGCAUCACCGUUGAUGGUUUUGAGCUAUGUGGAUCUACCUAACAAAUUUUGUGAUUGAUUGGAUGCAUAAUGUUCUGCUGGGCAUUACAAAGGGGUUGCUGAACUUCUGGUUAAACUAUAUACUCGUAUUAAGAACUCCGCUUUCUAUGUUGGAGACAAGAUCACUUUAUUGAAUCAGAGAUUGUUACGCCUACAAAUUCCAGACUUUGUAUCUAGAAGAUGAUCAUUCUCACCGAAAAGCAUCAGAAUGCGGAGAAUGGUUGAUCCAUUUCUGUGCCAGUUCUUUUCAGCAUUCUAAGCCCUAUUGUAUUUAUUCAUUACAUGUUGCUAACAACAGCAAUGAGCCUGCUUACCAAGGACGACAUGACCCAAGAUGACAUCAACCUUGCAGAAGACCUGUUGAAAGGGAAAACACAGACUAUGAAUGUCCAUCUGCUGCGCCACAUAGCACAGUUUACCGGUUUGUAUGGACCUCAUUUCAAUUUCUCCUGCUUUGGAUUUGAGUCCAUGAAUGCAUACCUGAAGAAAAUGGUACAUGGAACUAGUUAUGUAAACAGUCAGGUGUGCUUUGCUGUCACAUUAUCCAAACAAAUAGCAACCAUGGAGAGACAGCUUACAGACACUGCAGCUGACAGAUCAAUGAAAAAACUGGCCAAACAAUUGGGUUCUAAGAUUAUAGUUGAAGAGUAAAUGGCCAACAGGGAGUGUAUAUUGUGAAAAUUGAAACCUUUCAAAGUAACGGAUGAAAACUACAAUCUUCUGUCAGAGGACUUAAAGCAGGCAACCUCAAGUCCUUCACAAGAUUAUAAAAGGGCUAUGAAAUCUCUUUUGGCAAGCACAGUUCUGUUGCCAAAACCAAGAAUUCAUUCACUAUUAGCUUUGAAUAUAUAAUGAAGAACAGUUUGGACAAAUUAUGCCCUUUUUCUUAGUACAUGUUACAAAAUUUGCUAUAGUGAAAGUUUUUGAAACUGAGAGAAUCGGUCUUGGUGAGGAAGAAAAGAGAUCCAUAACAGACGAUACUUUAGAGCGCUAUCUAGAUAAACCUGUGUGUCCACAUAUUGUGCAAGUAAUAGACGAUACUUUAGAGGGCUAUCUAGAUAAACCUCUGUGUCCACAUAUUGUGCAAGUAACAGACAAUACUUGAGCGCUAUCUAGAUAAACCUCUGUGUCCACAUAUUGUGCAAGUAACAGACGAUACUUGAGCGCUAUCUAGAUAAACCUCUGUGGCCACAUAUUGUGCAAGUAACAGACGAUACUUGAGCACUAUCUAGAUAAACCUCUGUGUCCAGAUAUUGUGCAAGUAACAGACGAUACUUUAGAGUACUAUCUAGAUAAACCUCUGUGUCCACAUAUUGUGCAAGUAACAGACGAUACUUUAGAGCGCUAUCUAGAUAAACCUCUGUGUCCACAUAUUGUGCAAGUAAUCUCGCAUUAACAAAUGUGUAGUGUCAGUGAGAAAGCUUAUUUCCAAAUGUGUGUGUUUUUUUGGUUUGUUUUUAGCUCACAUGUCACAAAGUGACAAUGUCAGCUUUUGUGAUCACGCAGCGUCUGUCAUCCGUGCAUGAGUCCGUGCGUACAUGCAUGCGUAAACUUUUGCUUGUGACCACUCUAGAGGUCACAUUUUUCAUUGGAUCUUUAUGAAAGUUGGUCAGAAUGUUCAUCUUGAUGAUAUCUAGGUCAAGUUCGAAACUGGGUCAACUGCGAUCAAAAACUAGGUCAGUAGGUCUAAAAAUAGAAAAACCUUGUGACCUCUCUAGAGGCCAUACUUUUCAAUGGAUCUUCAUGAAAGUUAUUCAGAAUGUUCACCUUGAUAUCUAGGUCAAGUUCGAAACUGGGUCACGUGCCAUCAAAAACUAGGUCAGUAGGUCAAAUAAUAAAAAAACCUUGUGACCUCUCUAGAGGCCAUAUUUUUCAUGGGAUCUGUAUGAAAGUUGAUCAGAAUGUUCAUCUUGAUGAUAUCUAGGUCAGUUUCGAAACUGGGUCAACUGCGGUCAAAAACUAGGUCAGUAGGUCUAAAAAUAGAAAAACCUUGUGACCUCUCUAGAGGCCAUACUUGUGAAUGGAUCUUCAUGGAAAUUGGUCAGAAUGUUCACUUUGAUGAUAUCUAGGUCAAGUUUGAAACUGGGUCACAUGCCGUCAAUAACUAGGUCAGUAGGUCAAAUAACAAAAAAACCCUUGUGACCUCUCUAGAGGCCAUAUUUUUCAUGGGAUCUGUAUGAAAAUUGGUCAGAACUUUUAUCUUGAUGAUAUCUAGGUCAAGUUCGAAACUGGUUCAACUGCGAUCAAAAACUAGGUCAGUAGGUCUAAAAAUAGAAAAACCUUGUGACCUCUCUAGAGGCCAUACUUUUCAAUGGAUCUUCAUGAAAGUAAGUCAGAAUGUUCACCUUGAUGAUAUCUAGAUCUUGUUUGAAACUUGGUCACGUGUUUUUAAUAACUAGGUCAGUAGGUCAAAUAACAAGAAAGCCUUGUGACCUCUCUAGAGGCCAUAUUUUUCAUGGGAUCUAUAUGAAAAUUGGUCUGAAUGUUCAUCUUGAUGAUGUCUAGGUCAGGUUUGAAACUGGGUCAACUGCAAUCAAAAACUAGGUCAGUAGGUCUAAAAAUAGAAAAACCUUGUGACCUCUUUAGAGGCCAUACUUUUGAAUGGAUCUUCAUGAAAAUUGGUCAGAAUGUUCACCUUGAUGAUAUCUAGGUCAGUUUCAAAACUGGGUCACGUGCCAUCAAUAACUAGGUCAGUAGGUCAAAUAAUAAAAAAUCUUUUGACCUCUCUAGAGGCCAUAUUUUUCAGUGGAUCUUCAUGAAAAUUGGUUAGAAUUUUUAUCUUGAUGAUAUCUAGGUCAGAUUCAACACUGGGUCACAUGAGCUCAAAAACUAGGUCACAGUGUCAAAUAAUAGAAAAAAACGACAUCAUACUCGGUUUAAAACUGGGUCAUGUAGGGACAGGUGAGCGAUUCAGGACCAUCAUGGUCCUCUUGUUGUUUUUUUAUAUCAGCCAAACAAUGACAUUUAUAAGCAGUCCUCCAAAUUUGAUUGAACAUGGUUGAACACGGGACAUUAGUCAGAAAUAUUUAAUCAUAACUGCCGCAAACAAAGUUGAAGCGGUUUAUACUGGUUUGAAAUGUGACAUCUAAUCAUCUAGUAAAUUAGUAAUAUAGUAUUACCAUGUUAUAGCAUUGAAGGUUACCAUAUUGCGGGUUUUUAUUUCUGCUGAAUCUGCGGGUCGAGGCUGUCACACAGAAAUACUGCACAUUUAAACCAUUAGCAGAAUUUUUUGACGCAGAAAUAAACUUGAUAUUUUGCUUAAUAUAUGACCCGUUAUCUUUAUCUUCAUCUGUUGUCAAGUUAUUCACACCAUAUCGAUUAUGGUUGAUUGCUUUUGUUAUUGUAUCAAUCUAUUGUCCACGAAUGAAUGGUUACCGUGUAAUCAUUACAAGCACUCUAGGUUUAUGAAAAGUUAAACAAACUUAUUAAUGUGUGUUGUAAUUGAAUGGACUAUGAACUAUGUACUAGAUUUUGCAUUUGUAUAUAUUUGUAAAUAAAUUGUAAAUUUUUCUAACAGCAAUGUUACAUUUUCAAAAUGAAUUACAGGUACUAGACCUACAGUAUUUAUUUUUAACUCAGAUUUUUUAUCAUGCACGGUAAUAAAAAGAAAUCAGAUUUAAACAUAAAUCAGCUGCUCCAACUUCACUGUCCUAGAUUCCGAAAUAGAUAAUGCCACCAAGACGUAACUGAUGAGAACGAUAUGCAAGUCGUUAAUUAUGACGUAGUAAAUGCGAUAGCUAUUUCCCAUGCACAGAAUUUACUUCAUUUAGUUCAUGCUAACCGCAAAAAUUAAUUUCUGCUUUUCUCGAAGGUCGUAGAAAUACAAAACCCAGAAAUAAACUAGGCCCAUUUUAGGACAAAACCGCAGAAUUUUUUGCCCGCAGAAUUAACCUGCUGUAAGGUAUUAUUCAUUUGUUAGCUUAUCUGAGCCAAAGGCACAGGAUGAGCUGUUAGUAUGGGUUGGUUGUCCGUGUCACAUCCUCAAGAUUUCAUAUAAAUGGCUUUUUUUCUGAAACUUCAUUAUCGGAUGUUUGCCAGAUUUGGUCUGUACCAUCCCUGCAUUGACCCCUUUCAAAAUACAGGAGAUGAUUACUUUGUGACUUUGACCUAAAAAUAUAAAUAUUCAUACUUGGAAUGAAUUUGGUACAUUGUAAAAACUUCACACACUAAAUAUUCACUAUGAUAAACUGACUCACAUUGCACAGGUUCAAUAACUCUAUUUUGCUUAUUUACAAAAUUAUGCCCCCUUUUCUUAAUAAGGCUGUUGAAUAGUUGAGCGUUGCCGUCUUCCAACAGCUCAUGAUAUAUAUCAUAUAUAUUUGAAGUAUUAUUUACAUUUCACUUCAGAUUUCAUCAGUGAAUGCCCGCUCAUGAUUAAAUAAUGCACUGAGGGGCAUCUGGGGUCUAAUCCUCCACCAUCAAAGCUGGAAAGUCGCCAUAUGACCUAUAAUUGUACUGGCUAGCGACCACCAAACCGGACAGUCCUGUAAACGCUUUUUUUUUGUCUUUAACCUUGCUAAUCUGUUUACGAUCAAAUGGAAGCUUGAUUUUCAACAACAGGGCAAAGUUACAACAUUUAAAUUUAAGUAUUUUACAAGAAAUGCUACAUUUCAUUUAGUCUGCACUCGCGAAGCAUGUUUACAUGUCGGGAGAAAUCGGAAGUGGCACGAUGCGCAUGCGCAGUUUUUCCUUGUGAGGUCCUGCCAUUAAAUCUAAAGGUCCCAUGCAAAUUUGAGGUAGGCAGACGAGACAUUUAGUAAACACUUAUAUUGGGGCAAUACAGCUUUGAUAAUUCAGUGCAUUACUUUUACACACCCUAAAACUUCGAAAGUGAAAUUUUAAAAGAUUUGGUUGGGAGAGAUACGAUCAGAUUUAUAGAUUCAAGAGAGGUAAUUCGUACAAUUCUAGGACUCGGACACUGUACGACUACUUUCCAUUGGUUGAAAUAAAAGUUUAAUUCAAUGUUAAAUGUAAAUUGAAAAUCAAUAAAGUGACAACACGCUGUCCAGAAACAUAGUAUUGUUAGACCUUAAAACAACGUGAUUCGGUGGCCCUUUGUGCGGGCCUCGCGAAAGUACUUGACCUAAAUUUAGAAGUAAACAAAUUAGCUCUUUAGUUAAGAGGAGGACCUAGCUUUGUUCACAUGAAAUUUCAACCACUAGAUAUAUCUAUUUCCCCGAGUUGUCCUGAAAAAUAUUCCAAAUGUGUCUGGUUGUAGGACGCAAGCCAGUAUCGGUGCGGUAUUAAGCCCAACAAAUUAAAUAAUUUCAUCAGUGAAAUCUAGGCUAUAAUGUUGUAAAAGUCUUUAUUACUGAAAAAUGCAGUUCAAAUAUACUUCCCAUAUAUUUUUCACAAAUCUAUUUUGUAGUAUGUUUUGGAGACAUGCGGACAUAAAAAAAAUGUUAGAUCUUCUUACUUGACACGACAGCUAGGCUCACUUGAAAUAAACACAAUUUUUUAGUCCCGGCCUGUAUCCUGCAUUCAAUAUAAACAAGAGCCAUGUCAGACAUGGCUAAUCCCCCCACCGGGCAUAUCAUAAUUGAAGGAUGUGGUCCGCAUCAGGGGUUUUAAGAUGUGGAAGAAAGAAUAAGUCAGUAGUGAGGUGGUUUACUGCUAAAUUUUAUUAAUUUUCAUGAAGAGUAUAGCUAUGAUGUUUUUCUAUAUGGCUACUGUAAAAAGAAGGAAUGGAAAGCUAACAGGGAACAAGAGUGCCAGAAUGUCACAAUAUAUGCCCGUCAAAGCAAAUUUCUUUACUCUAGCAGCUGUAUUUGCAAAUGGAAUGUUAAUUUUGUGGUUGUUUAGUAAUCAUUGUAAGUCUUUUGUUUUUUAAAGUCCACAAAAAAACUCCUUACUAGGUAGAGAUACCUUAUAUAUAAUAAAAUUAAUAAAAUACACCUAAAACUGGAGAGUAACAUCUAUGCUGUACCACAGAAAAGUGGUCUUGUUUUUUCCCUAGGGUCAAUUAUAAAAAUGUUACAAUAUAAGUUAUUUAUAGUAACAACUAAGGGAAGUUAAUCUUUAAAAAAAAAAAAAAAAAAAAAAAAAAAAAAUUGCAAGUCCACACAAAAAUCUUUAUCAGGAAGAGACUGGUCAAAAUACACCUCAAAAUUGGAUUUAGCAUGUUUGUUGUACUACAGAAAAGUGGUCUCGAUUUUUCCCUACGACUAGUAAUGAAAAAGUUACAAUAAAAGCUAUUUAAAGUAACAACAAAGGGGAGUAAUUC
Long non-coding RNA from Mercenaria mercenaria, 7097 nucleotides. RefSeq lists it as uncharacterized. The record is from RefSeq and is a predicted model, not a curated record. The transcript is spliced from 8 exons. NCBI's taxonomy places the organism in Eukaryota, Metazoa, Mollusca, Bivalvia, Venerida, Veneridae.